CACGUGGCUCUUGCCUGGUUGACAGUCCCCAUCAAGCUGGUGAGGUGGUCUUGUCUUUUUUCCCCAACCUGUUGUAAUUUGACUCUUAGGAAUUGUGCCGUGAGCGCUGAGAUUUGUAGACAUCCCAUUGUAGGGGUCUUGGUUGCGUAUCACUGUGCCCAUGGCUCUUAGGGUGACACACACCCAACUCCCAAAUUCUGUCCCGAAUGAGAGGUGGGGUCCAGAGGCACUUAAAAGUCCAGGGAGUCUGAGGGACAGGGAUGCUGACAGUGGGCACUGGUGGUUUGUCUGUUCUACUGUUUCAGGGGGAUGAGCCCACCAUGUGGAAUUCAGAUGGGCCUUCUGGCUACCCCAGGGGCCUCCAGCUCAGCUUCCUGGGUGUGUCAGAGAGGCGUGCCAGGAGCCAGAGCUGAGGAAUGAGGCUGGGCUUACUGCCACCCAGGAGGAGUCCCUCUGGAGAGCCUCAGAAAGUACCUGCAAUGGCAAUACAACAGAAGAGCCUCUAAAUAUCUCCUUUUGGGGAUACGGCAGGAAAGCCAAAGGAAAUGUGAAGAGAUGUCUGAACGCCCAGAGGAAACCAGUGGGCCCUUCCAGGAGUUCUAUUUGCGGUAAGAAACCUUGGCAUGGGGCAGCCAGCUCUCCUGCAAAAAUAGACCAAUGUGCUGAGAAGCAGCUCAAUUCUGGGAGCAAUUCCCCUCCAUGGGGAAGAGAGCUUGCACUGGGACUUAGAAGGAUCUGCCCCCUCUCUUCUUCUUGCCCCUGGACUCCAGAACCAAAAACGGGGAGAAAAAAAGGUAAACAUUUUUUUAAAAAAGAACUCUUGGCCAGGUGGAGUGGCUCACACCUGUAGUCCCAACACUUUGGGAGGCUGAGGCAGGAGGAUCACUUGAGGCUAGGAGUUUGGGACCAGCCUGGACAACAUGGCAAGACCCUGUCUAUCAAAAAAAUACAAAAAUUAUCUGGGUGUGGUGGCACAUGCCUGUAGUCUCAGCUACUUGGGAGACUAAGGCAGGAAGAUUGCUUGAGCCUGGGAGGUCGAGGCUGCAGUGAGCUAUGAUCAAGACAGUGUACUCCAGCCUGAGUGACAGAGUGAGAACCCCAUCUCUUAAGAAAACAAAAAACCAGAACUUAUGAAUGUAUCCAUGACUUAAAUCAAAAAUGGGCCAGUGGAAACACAGGGCAAAGGAAGGUUUCAAAUAAGCACCUGGACACAAACGGACCCAGGAGGUGACACACAGUAUUGAGGACCCACUCCCCAUCACUAGGUCCUUUGGCCUCAAAUGAGUGAGAUGACUAAGAAAAUAGGGCACCAUGUGCGGCAGAAGUGAGGGUGGCUAGACAGAAAAUGACGGCCUUGACUGUGAUGGUCAUCACAGACAGGACCCCUAAGAAAGGUGGCCAAGGGGGUCUGGGGACCCAUCUUUAGAAUACCGGGCUGACAGCAUAACAGGGGUUUGGGACACCACCAUGAAAGAAGACAAUGAAGCCAGGUGCAGUGGCUCACGCCUAUAAUCCCAGCACUUUGGGAAGCCAAGGCAGGAAGAUUGCUUGAGCCCAGGAGUUUGAGACCAGCCCGAGCAACGUAGCAAGACCCCCAUCUCUACUAAAAAUUUAAAAAUUAGCGAAGCAUGGCUGGGCACGGUGGCUCACGCCUGUAAUCCCAAUACUUUGGGAAGCCAAGGCGGGUGGAUUACGAGGUCAGGAAUUCAAGACCAGCCUGACCAACAGGGUGAAACCCUGUCUCUACUAAAAAUACAAAAAUUAGCCGGGUGUGGUGGCAGGCUCCUGUAACCCCAGCUACUCAGUAGGCUGAGGCAGGAAAAUCGCUUGAACUCAGGAGGUUCAGUAAGCCAAGAUCAUGCCAUUGCACUCCAGCCUGGGUGACGGAGUGAGACUCCAUCUCAAAAAAAAAAAAAUUAGCCAAGCACAGUGGCAUGUGUCUGUAGUACCAGCUACUUGGGAGGCUGAGUGAAGAGGGAGGAUUGCUUGAGGCCAGGAGUUGGAGACCAGACUGGGCAACAUAGCGAGACCUCAGCUUGGAAGUAAGGAAGGAAAGAAGGGAGGGAAGGAGGGAUGAAGGUAGAAAGAAACGGGACAAGAUGGACUCCUGAGGCCAUCCUAAUUCUGGAACACAAUACAAUGGCCUCUGUAUGUUAGGAGGGCUCAUUUGGCUUCUCUCUAAGCCAGCAGUCCACAUCUUUUUGGCACCAAGGACCAGUUUUGUAGAAGACAAUUUUCCACGGAUGGGGGCGGGGGGUGGGGGUGGGAGGGGAUGGUUUCGGGAUGAAACUGUUCCACCUCAGAUCAUCAGACGUUAGAUUCUCGUAAGAGGUGCCCAACCUACAUCCCUUGCACGUGCAGUCCACAAUAGGGUUUGUGCUUCUAUGGGAAUAUAAUGCCACACUGAUCUGACAGGAGUCAGGGCUCAGGUAGUAAUGCUCACUCACCUGCCGCACACCUCCUGCUGUGCGGCCGGUUCCCAAUAGGCCAUGGAAUGCUUAUUGGUCCACAGCCCUGGAGUUGGGCACCCCUCUUCUAAGGCAGAAGCUUCUACUGUCUUAGGAGCAGCGUCCUGGCCUCCACAGCAGGGAGAGAGCAGGAAUACCCAGCCACAGAUACUGGUCAAGAUAUUGAUCAACUUCCUACCAUCAUGGUGGAGGCAAGCCUGGAGGCCUCUGGGUGGUCAUCAGGUCACCCCAGCACAUUUUCCUGCCCCGGACUCCUGGCCACGCUGAGGUUGCUGUGAGCAGACACGAUGUGCAGGGUCAUGGAUGUGCAGCUCAAACUCCUUGACAAGCGGGAGAUUUAUUUUAUGGCCCAAGCAGUUUGGAGACAAAAUCGUAAGGUGCUCACCCAUCCAGUGUCUCUUCAGCCGGCACUGGGAGGUGUCAAACUGACCACAUUCGACUGCCCCUUCCGCCCGCAGAAUAUGGGUCUGCGUUUCUCUUUCCCUCUUGGUGGCCAAGAACUGUCAACAUCCAGCUGUGGCUCUGCACUCAGCCGCCGCUCAGCCUGCUCAGGUUGAAAGGUCAAACGUUGUCUGGAAUUGGCAGCCCAGCUUACUAGCAGCUCUUCUGUCUUCAGAGUGCAGUGAGGGGAGCUGUCAGAGGGCUGAGGCAAGGACCAGAGAGGGAACUCCUGCGACAGAGAAAGCUCAGCCCUGGUUAUGUUCUGGAGGGAGCAUAGCAGGGUCUGUCCCAGGAACUUUAUUAGUUAGCGGUUAAGAUCCUCAUCCACAGAAAAGCCGGUAGGAAUUAGCCAGGUGGUGUGUGCCUAUGGUCCCAGCUACCCAGGAGGGUGAGGAGGGAGGACUGCUUGAGCCCAGGAGGUUGAGGCUGCGGCUAGCUAUGAUUGUGUCACUGCGCUCCAGCCUGGGUGACAAAGCAAGAUCCUGACUCAAAAAAAAAAAAAAAAAAAAAAGGAAGAAAGAAGAAAGAGAGAGAAGAAAGAAAGGAGAGAAAGAGAAGGAAGGAAGGAGAAAGGAAAGAAGGAAGGAAGAAAAGGAAGAAAGAAUGACAAAGAAAAGAAAGAAAGACGAAAAGGAAAGGAAAAGAAAAGAAAAAAGAAACAAAAGCAGGAAAGUGAGGGGAGAGGGCCAGGAAGACAGAAGACAGGAUGGGCAAGAAGGGUGGGAAGGAUUCCCACACCAGAUUCAGGAGUGGCUCUGCAUUGGGAAAUCCAUCUACGACUGCUGGGGACUUGGUUUUGCAAACAUGCACAGAGAAACCUUCAUCCACCUCUGUGCAAUGUUGGACUGAAGUAGAAAUGAGCCGCUGUUUUCUGGAAGCACCCCAUUUCUUUGAGCUGAUCUUCUCUAAUAAUGAAUUCUGGUGAAGCCUGCCAUUCACAGCACCCUGCCCUCCCAUCUGUAGGAGGUGGGAACAGGACCCAGGCCAGUUGAUCAGAGAGCUCCCUUGCCCUGGGAUGAGCAUGUGACCCAGAUGUCUCAAUCAUGGGGAAGAUCCUCUUGCCUGUUAUAGCCACUAUGCUGGAAGAACAGGAUGUGGGCUUGCUGGCCGCCAUCUUCCAGUCCACGCUGGGAACCCAUCUGCAGGAGGAGGGAAGGAGGACAACCCAGUUUGAGGGAGCAUAUGGACAGCAGCUAUAGAAGGCUCCAUAUGUGCCCAGUGCUAGAUCCACCCCAUCCCUUCCUGUUCCAUAAAUCCAUACAUCUUCUCUCACUUUUGCUUACCCUAGUUUGAGUUACAUUUCUGACACCUGCCACCAUAAAAGCCCAAAUGAUUACAGAGAAUAUUUGGCUACAGGAAAGACCCUGCAGUCUGUGAAAAAAGAGGCUGCUGGUGCAUAGUCAUCGUAGACCAGUGCAAAGAGUGAAACAGAAACAUCCAGCUUAAUCUGCAAAAGCCUUUUUGGAUCCUUGAGAGGCGCUCAUUAACUUACAGCAAAUUGGUGAGCUGAUACUCUUCUUUCAUCCAGGUGAGUGCAUUAACUAGGUUAAUGUUCCUGUCUCAAGGGACUGCUGUAGGUUAGGGUGAAUGAAUGAAAGAAGCAAGUUUUUAAACAGGAAAAAGGCUGCAGGGAAGUUGAGGUGACAAGCAUCGUUUCACCCCCAAUGGAAGGUGAGCUUGUCUGUUAGGUCCCAGGGACUGAAUUGGAGUUCCGUGGUUAGGGAAUGACCCAUCUCAACAAGCAACUUCCAUCAUCCUUCCAUGGGGAUCUGAUUAAGGUCUUCUCCAGAAGGAGAUGGCCUCGUGAGUUGGGGCUUUUUAAUCUCCCUGUCCCUCCUCUAGAAGGGCAUUGCUACUGGCCUUGCCCUGCCAAGUCUUCAGUCUACAACAACACUGCCCGGCUUCAGACACAGCCCAGAUCCUUCCCAGAUCCUUCCCAGACACAGCCCAGAUCCUUCCCAGACAAAAAGUCCUUCCGACUUUUUGCCCUUUCGGCCCAGCCUUCCCUAUCACUUAUGCUGAAAUUGGGAACGUUUCCCAAACCAACAAUUUCCCAGUCCACAAUGUUCCCUUGCUGAGUGUCCCCACAGGAGAGACAGGCAGCCUGAUAAAUAAAACCAGUCAUAAAACCUCCCUGCCUUAGCAAAGGGACUGCUUUGCCAGGCUACCGUCACAUAGCACUCCUGUCUCCCGUUUGACUUCAUAUAGUGAAAAUUGUCUAAAAGAUAAGGCAGGAGCUCUGGUUGACACCCCCCCUGCCCCCGCCUCAUAGAUCUCUCUCUAGAAGCAUUGGAAGAGGCCGUCUCAAAAAAGAAAAAUAAAAUAGAAGCAUUGGAGGAAAGAUGUGGUUUGUAGUGAAACAAAUUGGAAGUCAAGCUCAGCCUCAACCACUUACUUGCUUCUGACCUUGGGUAGUGUCCACCACAGGAAACAUUACUAUUUGGGUUUUGUGACCCAGGAAUCCAUAUUUACCUGGCGGCAACGACACAGCCCUCACCUUUCCAGACCUCAUCUGGUGGCCUUGUAAUCCUGGAGCUGAAGCUGCCUACACACAAGCAAUCGGUCGCAGUGUAUCCGUGCAGGGUCCCAACCCACUCCAGGAUUCAUUUCGGGAUGGCUUCCCCUCCCUCAGCCAGGUCUCCGGCCCCGUUGCUCUGCAUGCUUGCCCAUCUCCAUCUCCACGGCGAUCAUGUGUUUGCAGGGAGCCAUCAAUAUCCUCUUCUCUUACGCUUUCUGAAUGGGAGAGUCAAUCUCAAUGGGAAGCUAGCAGGGACUUGGGUGGACAGGUGUCUCACGCUGGAUGGGCGAAUCCAGGUGGGAGGGAGGGUGGGCUUGCUGUCAUUUGUUGGUGGGUCAUGGGAUUUGCUAUGAAGCUGGAGGGAAAAUCUGGACCCCUGAAGAGGGGUCCCUUCCCUUCCUAAGGGAAGGCCUCAGCUCCAAGACUGCAGGAGGAGCUGGGUAGCCAUUGGAUAUGGCUAACGCACAUGAAUCAUGACCAGGGUGCACUGUUUGGACAGCAAGUCAGUGGCCCAAGGAGAGAGAGGUUAGUGAUGGGAAGCGUCCUGAGACUCACUGAUGCAUCUUUACAUUUUUCUCUUUAAGCAUUAGGAAGAGGCCGGGUGCCGUGGCUCACACCUGUAGUGCCAGCGCUUUGGAAGGCUAAGAUGGGCAGACUGCUUGAACUCAGGAGUUUGAGACCAGCCUGGGCAAUGUGUCAAGACCCCAUCUCUACAAGAAAUUUUAAAAUUAGCCAGGCAUUGUGGUAGGUGUCUGUGGUUCCAGCUACUCAGGAGGCUGAGGCAGGAGGAUUGCUUGAGCCUGAGAAGUUGAGGCUACAGGGAGCUGUGAUCUCACCACUGCACUCCAGCCUGGGCAACAGAGUGAGACCCUGUCUCAAUCAAUCAAUCAAUCAAGAAAUAUUAGGAGGAGAAUUUGUUGAUGUCUCUUUUCUGUCAUAAGCUCGGCUCUCCAAGAGCCUUUUCUUCCCAGGAGGACAUGCUGGUGUUUCAUGAAUCUAGGACUUCUUGCCUGAAGCUUGUAAAGUGCUAGAUGGAAUGAAAACAGCAGCAGUAAGAGCAGGCUCUUAUGCAACCUUGCUACACACAAGGCAUUGCUCUAAGUGCUUUGCAGGGGUUAAGAGAUGCAGCUGAGUAGCUGAGGACAGUCUAGGGGUGGGGUUUCCAGAGGCUGUCAGGGGAGUGGCCCCCAGUCUCCCUGGUGGAAUCCCUGACCAUUAAUCACACACAUAAGUUUCACUCCACAAACAUGGGUUGUAAAAACAUUACAAUCUAGCCAGGCGCAGUGACUCAUGCCUAUCAUACCAGUACUUUGGAAGGCCGAGGCAGGAGGAUUGCUUGAGGAGUUCCCGACCCGCCUGGGCAACGUAGCAAGACCCCCAUCCUACCAAAAAAAAAAAAAAAAAAAGGCAGGGUGUGUUGGUGUGCACCUAUAGUCCCAGCUACUUGGGAGGCUGAGGCAGGGAGAUUGCUUGAGCCCAGAAGUUCAAGGCUGUGGUGAGCUAUGAUUAUACUACUGCACUCCAGCCUGAGCAACAGAACAAGACUCUGUUUUUUUUUUAAGCCAUAAUCCAUUAUUUUUUUCUAAAUUAAAUGGAAUGUGUUGUGAACCACAAUCAUUUAUUUUAUUUACUUAUUUAUUUUUGAGACGGAGUCUUGCUCUGGCGUCCAGGCUGGAGUGCAGUGGUGUGAUCUCGUCUCACUGUAACCUCUGCCUCCUGGGUUCAAGCAAUUCUCCUGUCUCAGCCUCCUGAGUAGCUGGGAUUACAGCUGUGCACCACCACACCUAAUUUUUGUAUUUUUAGUAGAGAUGGAGUUUCAUCACGUUGUCCAGGCUGGUCUCGAACUCCUGGCCUCAAGCGAUCCACCUGCCUCAGCCUCCCAAAAUGCUAGGAUUACAGGCGUGAGCCACCAUGCUUGGACCUAGCCACAAUUAUUUAAUACCAGGGCUCCCUGCCAUUGCUCCCCAGAGCUGGGAGAAGGUCUCAGGAGCAUAUUGGGUCAGGUAUGUGUGGAAAGGCCCUCCAGGCUCAAAUCCACACUGGGCCUGCUCUGUGCCCUGACUCCAAGCUCCAGGAGCCCUCAAAGGUGGCAGCUCCACUGCUCAUGAGCCAAGCUUAGGGACCGGGGCCCUUCCUAGCAGCCAGAAAGAGCCUUAUUCUUAGUUGUUUUUUUUUUUUUUUUUUUUUUUUUUUGUAGAGACAGAGUCUGGCUCUGUUGCUCAGGCCAGAGUGCAGUGGUUCGAUCAUAGCUCACUGCAACCUCAAACUCCUGGGUACAAACAAUCCUCCUACCUCAGCCUCCUGAGUAGCUGGGACUACAAGCGUGCACCAUCACACCUGGCUAAUUUUUAUAUUUUUAAUUUUUAAUUUUCUGUAAAGACAGGGUCUUGCUAUGUUGCCCAGGCUGGUCUCAAACUCCUGGCCUCAAGCGAUUCUUCUGCCUCGGCCUCCCAAAGUGCUGUGAUUACAGGCAUGACCCACUGUGCCUGGUUCUGUUUUUAGUACCAAGGGCCCUCAUACCCCCUGUCUCUUCUUGGGACUCUGCCAAGUCCCAGGCUCCUUCUCAGCCUUGGGGACGGUACCCAGAUCAGCACCUCCACUUCCAUCUCCCCACCUCACCCCAAACCCUUCCCUCUGGCAUCUAGAGCCAUCCUAAAGUUUCUCUUCUUGAGUCUAGCCCUCCUGGGUAUGCUUGGGGACUGAAAUGCUCAAACUGGCCUCACCUCUUGACACUGUAAUUGUUCCUUAUCUCCCAUUAAACAGGAAUCCUGCUUUGUGUAGUUCAGUGCCUGCUGCCAAGUCAGAGCUGUGACCUCAAUGAAAGUGGCCCAGCCACAGCAAACCUCAGUUUCCAUAACAGUCCUGGGAUCCAAUGUGGCUUUCACACUACAUGUCACUUCACUCUGUUAUCUCUGACAGAAAACCAACUCAAACUGGCUUAAGCAAAAAGGGUACUCACUGGGCCAUGUAACCAAAAAGUGUAGGCAUACAUGUGGCUUCAGGAAUGGCUGGAUCCAGGCACUCACAUGUGGCAUCGGGAGUCCCUCUCCUGGCUGUUGGUUUCAGUUUUCUCUGCAGGGGUUUCAUUCAAGCACUGGUUCCCUCCUCAUAGUGGCAAGGUGGCUGCCCAGGACAAGAGGCUUAUAGCCACGGGCUCAGCUACUUAAGGAUAAGUUCCAUCAGAAGCCCAAGUUGAGGCCGGGCUUGGUGCUCACACCUGUAAUCCCAGCACUUUGGGUGGCCGAGGUGGGUGGAUCACUUGAGGUCAGGAGUUCGAGACCAGCCUGGCCAACACAGUGAAACCCUGUCUCUACUUAAAAAAAAACAAAACAAAACAAAAAAAAAAACCAUGAAAAUUAGCUGGGUGUGGUGGCACGUGCCUGUAAUCCCAGCUACUUGCAAGGCUGAGGCAGGAGAAUCACUUGAACCUGGCAGGCGGAAGUUGCAGUGAGACGAGAUCACGUCAUUGUACUCCAGUCUGGGCAACAGAACGAGACUUCGUUGGCAAUGACUGGGUCAUCUGUCCAGUCCUGAACCGGUCACUGUGUCAGGUAGAAGCAUUGUUUGAUUGGCCAGGCCUGGGACACACGGCCAUCUCCAGACCUAGGAAUGGCAUCAUCUCUACCCAAACCCCGUGAACCAAGAGUUGGGGAGGAGCAAAGCUUCAGAGAAAACUCUGGGCCCUGUCAUCAAGCAGAGGAGGAAAGGAGGCCACACAGACUGAGACAUCAAGUACCCACUGUGCCCUCACCACCAGCUCCCGCCCUGGCCAGUGCACUCCUGGACCAUCUCUCCUCCCCGUCUUGUUCACAGUCACCCUCUCACCCCAGCAGAGAUCAGGCCAGGGUACUGGUGGCAAGUGAGUGAAGGGUUUCAGCAAGGGGGUCCCCACCUUCCAGGCACAGUGUAAGUGGACCCCCCACACUUGGGGGCUCUCCUGGGUUGCACAGUGUCCUCUGAAAAUUCACAUCCACCUGGAACCUGCAAAUAUGACCUUAUUUGGAAAUGGAGUCUUUGCAGAUGUUGUCAAGAUAAGAUGAAGUCAUACUGUUUUAGGAUGGGCCCUCUAUAUGGCACGACUGGGGUUCUUAUACGAAGAGGGACCCUGGCACACAGAUGCAUACAGGGAGAGUGCUGUGUGAUGAGAAAGGCAGAGAUUGCAGUGAUGCUGCCACCAGCCAAGGAGUCACCAUCAGCCAGGAGAUGGGCAUGGAUCUGAUUCUCCCUGGGAACCUCCAGAAGGAGCCAACCCUGCCAACACCUUGGUUUUGGACUUCUGUUCCCCGCAACUGUGAGACAAUACAUUCUGUGGUUUUAAGCUUUAUGAUAAUUUGUUACUGUAGCCCUGGGAAAGGAAUACAAGGGUAGACAGACACUGAUCAAGUAAGCAAACAAAUGUGAAAUUGCCCUGUGACAAGGGAGGUGCGGGGUGCCUGUGUUGGGGAAGAAUUCUCUGAGACUUGAAGUCAGAGAAGGAGUUAGCUAAUGGGGCCGACAGGGUUCUGCACACGCAGCUCACGGCCCAGAUCUUGUUGGCCAAGUGUUUUUGCAGGGAUUAGGAACUAAGAAUGGUUUUGCAAGAAGAACAUCACAGGCUGAGGGGACAGCAUGGGCAAAGGCCAUGAAGUGGGAGGCGCCCUCUGUGAAACCAACAAGCUUUCAGCCACGUGGGUCUCUCUGACGCGUUGCCUCAGCCACAGAGGGCUUUAAAAAGCCCCGAAACUGGACAGGUGUCACUGCCUGUGGCAGUAGCGGCCAUUUGGCGCCUGUGGUUUCAACUCCACCCGUUUCACAUGUCUAUGUUACCAGACUGGCCCCUGAAGGGGAUCUGUGUGCCAGGCCCUGACCUGCCGGGCUUUGGAAACAUCCUCGACAGUGUCCCCUGACCUGCGCCCCGCCUUGUGGAGUGAGGCCUGGUUGCCCAAGCUGGCUGGGCCGGGCUGUUUGUUGCUUCCAACAAACAUAGGAGAGAACGUAUGGCUGCUUUUUAUUGCCAGUGAGAGUUCCGCGAGGCCUGGCCCGAGAUGUGGCUGGCGUGAGGGGUCCCGGACCUGCUGUGCUGGGGACGCACCCAGUUCUGUGUCGCUUGGUCCAGUGAGGACUCGAGCCCCUUGGAGGCGGGGCCUCGGGCUGCAGGGGCGGGGCCCCGAGCCGCCUGGGGGUGGGGCCUCAGGCUCUUUGGGGGCGGGGCCUCAAGCUGUCUGGGGACGGAGCCUCCGGCCGGCUGGGGGCGGGGCCUCAUGCCUAAGGGGCGGGGCCUCGAGCUUUCUGGGGGUGGGGUCUCAAGCUUCAGGGUCGGGGCCUGGAGCCGCCUGGGGACGGGGCGAUCUGUUGGGGAGGAGGUUCUCGAACUGCUGAGGAGGAUCGCAGUGCUUUUGCUUCCUCUAGGAGACCAGCUGCACAGGCUGGAACAUGCCAUCUCUAUGCCUGUUUUCCCGUCGAUAAAUCCAGAGACAUUACUCUCAUCAUUUCUUCCUCUGUACACAAUAUUCAUAUAUGUAACCCCUUGGUAAAGCAGUUGUAAGAAUUAAACAAGAGGAAUUGCUCUUUCAUUCAGCAAAUAUUUUUUGAGCAGCUACUAGAUGCCAGGCACUGUUUUAGACGCAAGUGAUACUUCAGGAAACAUAAUCAGAC
Molecule: long non-coding RNA, 11061 nt
Filed under: Homo sapiens (human)
Lineage: Eukaryota; Metazoa; Chordata; Mammalia; Primates; Hominidae
Description: HSALNT0228023
Source: RNAcentral